CUCGCUUCUUGGCCCUUAGACUAAGAUCAAGUGUAGUAUCUAUUCUUAAUCAGCUUAAUAUCUGAUAUGUCAGCCAUCCGAGGACAGUAUAUUAAUGGAUGGACCUAGA
This is a non-coding RNA of Myotis brandtii (Brandt's bat), 109 nucleotides long. The record is from Rfam. NCBI's taxonomy places the organism in Eukaryota, Metazoa, Chordata, Mammalia, Chiroptera, Vespertilionidae.